AUGGAGGAGGGCAUUUAUUUCUCCUCCGGAUCUCAUGCAGCUAGAGUGCGAGACCAUCCAUUUUGCCUGCUCCCACGGCGUCUACACAAGCGUCCUGCACUGCGACGUUGUCGGGUCCCACAGCGCCGGGAGCAGGUACUUCCUCCCGCUCAGCCCGACGGCGUUGUAGCUCGCGCCGGUGGCCCGGUCCACGAGCAGCCUCCCCGGGUAGCCGGGGUAGGCGCCGCUGCCGAAGAUGCCGGCGCACGCCGUGGCGGCCUCCGGCCCGGCGCCGUCGGCAUCAUUGCCCUGGUAGUACCCGUCACCGUAGGGGUUGGUCACCGUGCCGGCGAGGAGCGCGGCGAGGCUGAUCACCAUGCCGUCCGUUCCCACGUCGCCGCUGGGCGGCACGAGCGGCGGGGCCUGGGGCCCGUACGACGGCCGGUGGAACGGCCACGCGCACUGGCCGGGGCACUGCUGGGCCGGGUUGCCCACCCACAGGUAGGCGUACCUCGCCCUGCCGUGCGCGCCGGCGGUGGCGUGGUCGUGGACGCCGCACCGGGACAUGCAGAAGGGCGCCACCAGGACGUCGGGCGCCGUGAGCACGGCGGUGAUGGCGCCGCGGUGGUGCCCCGCGCCCCUCGCCAGCGCCGUGACGUUCUCCAGCGAGAGGGACCGGCCCAGCGACAUGCGCUCGUCGAGGAGCUCCCGGCCGAGCCUCAGCCGCGCGCCCCCGCCGCGGUACAGCGAGACGGUGCGCCACCAGGACGCCACGGACGGCUCGGCGCCGCCGCCCGGGGCCGGCGCCGAGACCGACCGCACGAAGUCGGCGACGACGGCGCGCUGCGCGGGGGCGAAGCGGCCGUAGUAGAGGACGUUGACCUUGACCGUGAGGUUCCCCGUGAGCAGCGCGCCGCCGUGGUCCCGGAGCACGAUCGGGUCGGGCUUCACCAGGAACAGCGUCCGCGGGCUGUACGCCGCGCACCGGGGCGCCGCGGCGAAGAGGAGGGAGAAGAGGCAGAGCAGUAG
This 1008-nucleotide ribosomal RNA is filed under the name Triticum aestivum (bread wheat). Its description in RNAcentral is "partial small subunit ribosomal RNA". Lineage: Eukaryota; Viridiplantae; Streptophyta; Magnoliopsida; Poales; Poaceae. The record is from RNAcentral.